UUCCUCUAAGGGUCGCGCCUGGAGAGUUUCCAGUACGUAACCAGUCUCGGCUAUGGGAGGGAGAGUCAAGCAGAGGCAAACUCAUUCCAUUCCUAGCUUGGGCAGUGGCUAGCGAGUGGAAGGCAAUCUGCUAUAAGU
Ornithorhynchus anatinus (platypus) is the source of this 138-nucleotide small nucleolar RNA. The record is from RefSeq and is a predicted model, not a curated record. Lineage: Eukaryota; Metazoa; Chordata; Mammalia; Monotremata; Ornithorhynchidae.